UACGGGGGGGCAAGCGUUGUUCGGAAUUACUGGGCGUAAAGGGUUCGUAGGUGGCUCGUUAAGUCAGACGUGAAAUCCCUCGGCUCAACCGAGGAACUGCGUCUGAGACUGAUGAGCUCGAGUGCAGGAGAGGAACGCGGAAUUCCAGGUGUAGCGGUGAAAUGCGUAGAUAUUGGGAAGAACACCUGAGGCGAAGGCGGGUUGCUGGGCCGACACUGACGCUGAGGCGCGAAAGCCAGGGGAGCGAACGGGG
Molecule: ribosomal RNA, 253 nt
Filed under: uncultured bacterium
Lineage: Bacteria
Description: partial 16S ribosomal RNA
Rfam family: Bacterial small subunit ribosomal RNA
Source: RNAcentral